GACGAACGCUGGCGGCGUGCCUAAUACAUGCAAGUCGAACGCUGAAGGAGGAGCUUGCUUCUCUGGAUGAGUUGCGAACGGGUGAGUAACGCGUAGGUAACCUGCCUGGUAGCGGGGGAUAACUAUUGGAAACGAUAGCUAAUACCGCAUAAGAGUAGAUGUUGCAUGACAUUUGCUUAAAAGGUGCAAUUGCAUCACUACCAGAUGGACCUGCGUUGUAUUAGCUAGUUGGUGAGGUAACGGCUCACCAAGGCAACGAUACAUAGCCGACCUGAGAGGGUGAUCGGCCACACUGGGACUGAGACACGGCCCAGACUCCUACGGGAGGCAGCAGUAGGGAAUCUUCGGCAAUGGACGGAAGUCUGACCGAGCAACGCCGCGUGAGUGAAGAAGGUUUUCGGAUCGUAAAGCUCUGUUGUAAGAGAAGAACGAGUGUGAGAGUGGAAAGUUCACACUGUGACGGUAUCUUACCAGAAAGGGACGGCUAACUACGUG
This 495-nucleotide ribosomal RNA is filed under the name uncultured bacterium. RNAcentral's name for it is "partial 16S ribosomal RNA". It matches the Rfam family "Bacterial small subunit ribosomal RNA", at positions 28 to 507 of the family's 1533-position model. The record is from RNAcentral.